AUUGAACGCUGGCGGCGUGCCUAACACAUGCAAGUCGAGCGGUAACAGGUGUAGCAAUACAUGCUGACGAGCGGCGGACGGGUGAGUAACGCUUGGGAAUCUGCCUAUUAGUGGGGGACAACCCGGGGAAACUCGGGCUAAUACCGCAUACGCUCUACGGAGGAAAGCCGGGGACCGCAAGGCCUGGCGCUAAUAGAUGAGCCCAAGUCGGAUUAGCUAGUUGGUAGGGUAAUGGCCUACCAAGGCGACGAUCCGUAACUGGUCUGAGAGGACGACCAGUCACACCGGAACUGAGACACGGUCCGGACUCCUACGGGAGGCAGCAGUGGGGAAUAUUGGACAAUGGCGAAAGCCUGAUCCAGCGACGCCGCGUGGGUGAAGAAGGCCUGCGGGUUGUAAAGCCCUUUCAGUGGGGAAGAAAGCCUCGACCUAACACGUCGGGGUCUUGACGUAACCCAUAGAAGAAGCACCGGCUAACUCUGUGCCAGCAGCCGCGGUAAG
This 501-nucleotide ribosomal RNA is filed under the name uncultured bacterium. RNAcentral describes it as "bacterial SSU rRNA". It matches the Rfam family "Bacterial small subunit ribosomal RNA", at positions 29 to 524 of the family's 1533-position model. The record is from RNAcentral.